CCGAUAGUGAACCAGUACCGUGAGGGAAAGGCGAAAAGAACCCCGGCGAGGGGAGUGAAAAAGAACCUGAAACCGUGUACGUACAAGCAGUGGGAGCCCCACCACUAAGCCAGUGGUGAACUCCACAUACGCAUCCUUUGCUGAGGAUACGGUUAACGGAGCGAAAGCGACGUUCAACCGCAAAAGAAGCAGAGGGGGCUUAGUGGUGGGGUGACUGCGUACCUUUUGUAUAAUGGGUCAGCGACUUAUAUUCUGUAGCAAGGUUAACCGAAUAGGGGAGCCGGAGGGAAACCGAGUCUUAACCGGGCGUUAAGUUGCAGGGUAUAGACCCGAAACCCGGUGAUCUAGCCAUGGGCAGGUUGAAGGUUGGGUAACACUAACUGGAGGACCGAACCGACUAAUGUUGAAAAAUUAGCGGAUGACCUGUGGCUGGGGGUGAAAGGCCAAUCAAACCGGGAGAUAGCUGGUUCUCCCCGAAAGCUAUUUAGGUAGCGCCUCGUGAAUUCAUCUCCGGGGGUAGAGCACUGUUUCGGCUAGGGGGCCAUCCCGGCUUACCAACCCGAUGCAAACUGCGAAUACCGGAGAAUGUUAUCACGGGAGACACACGGCGGGUGCUAACGUCCGUCGUGAAGAGGGAAACAACCCAGACCGCCAGCUAAGGUCCCAAAGUCAUGGUUAAGUGGGAAACGAUGUGGGAAGGCCCAGACAGCCAGGAUGUUGGCUUAGAAGCAGCCAUCAUUUAAAGAAAGCGUAAUAGCUCACUGGUCGAGUCGGCCUGCGCGGAAGAUGUAACGGGGCUAAACCAUGCACCGAAGCUGCGGCAGCGACGCUUAUGCGU
This 838-nucleotide ribosomal RNA is filed under the name Salmonella enterica subsp. enterica serovar Dublin. RNAcentral describes it as "partial 23S ribosomal RNA". It matches the Rfam family "Bacterial large subunit ribosomal RNA", at positions 484 to 1221 of the family's 2925-position model. The record is from RNAcentral. Lineage: Bacteria; Pseudomonadati; Pseudomonadota; Gammaproteobacteria; Enterobacterales; Enterobacteriaceae.